CCAUUCUGCAGAAUAAGGACCAGAACUUUACAGAGGUAAACUGUGUCGGUUCUUUUACUAUUACAGCAGUUCAUCGUGGUCCUGUUGUUCGGCUCCUUCACCAAAGCUCUGUCAGGGACCUACAUGAAGAGUGUCAUCACUCAGAGAAACACUUUGACCUGUCCAGCUCUCUCAUCGGACUUAUAGACGGCAGCUUUGAGAUGGGUAACCUGCUGUUCCUGGCUGUGGUCAGCCAUUUGGGGGGCGAAGCUGCACCGGCCCAGGCUCAUUGCUAUGGGCUGUUUCCUCAUGGCUGUAGGAUCCUUCCUCACAGGCCUGCCACACUUCUUUAUGGGACGGUAAAACAACUGAAAUUAAACUUGUACUUGUAGAGAUACUCCAAUGCGGAGGAUAGUUUCACUUUAGAAUUAAAGAAAUGUAUCCAGUUUUUGAUUAAACUCAGGUAACUUCGAACUAAAGUCUUGCGUAAUUGGUCAGCUGCUUGAUUAUGUUUUGGGGCCAUACAUGUUAAGAGAAGGGAUUAAGAGAUGCUAUAACUGAAGUGGUAAGGUUGGACCCAGGUGCAGAGAAGAGACCAGAAGACGAAGCAGUGGUUCCAACCAGUGUCUCCACUGCUCAAGGGCCCACUUAACUGCCAAAAGCUCCCAGUUGUAUACAUCGUAGUUGCCUUCCACUGGCGAGACCUGCUUGGAGUGAAAGGAGCAUGGGUGCAGUUUCUUGUCCUCCUUGUUCCACUGUGAAAGGACCACACCAGGUCUGGUGUCCGGGGCGUCCACCUCCACGUCCAUUUUAAGCGUUGCGGAGGUCCAGUUUGGUGAAGAAUUGGAUUCUUAGUGCCAACUCCGAGGCGGCGGACAUCGGGUAGGGGGUAACGAUUCUUGAUCGUAGUCCUUUUCAGCCCUCUGUAAUCGAUGCAAGGACUGAAGUUUGGGUCAGAGACAGAGAGACAAGGGAUGCGAUUAGACAUGCAGCCCAAUUAUGAUAUUUUUUCCACUAAUUGGCCUUUUGACCAAUCACAUUAGAUAUUUUCGUAUCAGCUCUUUUUCGGGGAAUAUCUGAUUGGUCAAAAUACCAAAUACUCAAAAAAAAUGACUGAAUUGGGCUGCCUGUCUCAACGAAUCCAUAGAAACCUGGACAUGCUCCAACUGAAAUGUUCCAUCCUGUCAGUACUGAUGUUGAAUGGCAUUAAAUACACUUUUUUUGUUCUCUCCCAUCCCCUGUAGGUUUGUUGAACAUGAGUGGAAAUGAAACUCAAGCACACUGGUAGCACUAAAGAAGUGUGAGUAUAACUUUUCCAGGUGAGUUGAACCUGCCUGGGAUAUUCCUGGGAGGUCUACUGAUGAAGAGGUAUAAGCUUGGCGUUGUGUCUGGUUCCCAGAUGUCUUUCGUCAUCUCCUUCAUGGCCUACCUCCUCCUCCCUCUGCAGUCUGGCACUAAGUGUGACAACGUUCAGGUGGCUGGUCUGACCGUGUCCUAUAAUGGGUCCCCUGGUGUACGAUGGCAGCCUGUUGUCAGAAUGUAACAGAGCCUGCUCCUGCUUGGCUGGGAAGUGGGACCCUGUGUGUUCAGACAACGGCAUCACCUACACCCCCAGCCUCGCAGGCUGCUCCAGCUUUACAGGUUACGGCAAGAACACGGUACCAAUACUAUUAAUGUACUGAGAGUACAAAACAUUCACAGGGAUGCCGGCCUAUGUUGACUCCAAUGGCUCCCACAUUUGUGUCAAGUUGGCUGUAUGUCUUUUGAGUGGUGGACCAUUCUUGAUACACACGGGAAACUGUUGAGCGUAAACAACCCAGCAGUUGAGUUCUUGACACAAGCUGGUACCACUGGCACCUACUACCAUGCCCCGUUGAAAGGCAUGUAAAUAUUUUGUCUUGCCCAUUCACCCUCUGAAUGGCACACACACACAAUCCAUGUCUCAAUUGUCUCAAGCUUUACAAUAUAUAUUUUUAAACCUUUCUCCUCUUUAUCUACACUGAUUUAAGUGGGUUUAACUAGUGACAACCAUAAGGGAUUAUAUCUUUAACCUGGAUUCACCUGGUCAGCAUAUGUCAUGGAAAGAGCAGGUGUUCUUAAUGUUUAUACACUCAGUGUAACUGACAUGUACCACUGCAUAUACAUUCAGAGAGUUUGGUAUUUUUCCUGGAGGGCCACAACGUGUAGUAAUCUUUGGCCAAACCAGGCACACUAGAGUCUAUGGAGCGAUAUGAUGUUGAAUCUGAAAUUCAGUUUAUGUUGGCACUAAUAUCACUCCAUAACAUUCUAGCUAUAUGUCUUGGUUUAUGCGGGGCGGCAGGGUAGCCUAGUGGUAAGAGAGUUGGACUAGUAACAGGAAGGUUGCAAGUUCAAAUCCCCGAGCUGACAAGGUACAAAUCUGUCUUUCUGCCCCAUAACAGGCAGUUAAACCACCAUCAUUGAAAAUAAGAAUUUGUUCUUAACUGAUUUGCCAGGUUAAAUUAAUGUUAAAAAGAAAAAUGGUUGGAAAAAAUGAAAAAGACAUGAUGGUCCUGUAGCCUACUGUGUCACAUGUAAACAAGUUUAGGAUGCCAAAUGUUACCAAACAUCCUACACUUCCACUAGUCCCAAACUUAUCUUGACCUUUAUCAACCCUACUGCAUAUUCCCUUUAGCUUUCAUUUCAAUUUCAUUUUAUUGUACUUUGUUUGGGACCGCACAAGACACUAAAAAUAAAAUGGUGUAUAUUUUUG
Molecule: long non-coding RNA, 2710 nt
Organism: Oncorhynchus masou masou (cherry salmon)
Lineage: Eukaryota; Metazoa; Chordata; Actinopteri; Salmoniformes; Salmonidae
Exons: 4
Source: RefSeq, a predicted model, not a curated record